This 420-nucleotide long non-coding RNA is filed under the name Gopherus agassizii (Agassiz's desert tortoise). Its description in RNAcentral is "lncRNA (ENSGAGG00000009682.1)". The record is from RNAcentral. Lineage: Eukaryota; Metazoa; Chordata; Testudines; Testudinidae.
GUAAAGGUCUGGCUUCUGCUGGCAAGGUAUUUAGUGGCAGUGUCUAUAAACAAAGCAGUAGCGGGAGUAUACAGCUAGCAAGGCAGAAGGAUUACGAUGAGAUUCCUGCAAACUAGAAUUUUCUGUUUUGAAGAUGUGCCCAGUUUGGAGGAAGACUCUGGGACGGCCCCAUCUCUGAAGGAUGAAGGCUUGCAGAGCGGCUCACUCCAGCGCUUUGCACAGCUGAUGAAAAGGGGGAAAUUCCAGCAGUUCUACGGCCUGAUGGGAAAACGGGCUAGUGGGGUGCCACAUACUUCACCAGAGGAGCAUAAGAGGCACCAGGGAGAGACGUUCAUAGGACUCAUGGGACGAAGAUCCUCCAGUGGAGAGUCAACACAGGACUGGGACAACAGCCAGCCACUUCCUGCAUGGGAGCCAUAG